Molecule: ribosomal RNA, 259 nt
Filed under: uncultured bacterium
Lineage: Bacteria
Description: partial 16S ribosomal RNA
Rfam family: Bacterial small subunit ribosomal RNA
Source: RNAcentral
GUCCACGCCCUAAACGAUGAUUACUCGAUGUGUGCGAUAUACUGUACGCGUCUGAGCGAAAGCAUUAAGUAAUCCACCUGGGGAGUACGACCGCAAGAUUGAAACUCAAAGGAAUUGACGGGGGCCCCGCACAAGCGGAGGAGCAUGUGGUUUAAUUCGAUGAUACGCGAGGAACCUUACCUGGGCUUGAAAGUUAGUGAAGCAAGCAGAAACGUUUGCGUCCGCAAGGACACGAAACUAGGUGCUGCAUGGCUGUCGU